CUGCUGCCUCCCGUAGGAGUUUGGGCCGUGUCUCAGUCCCAAUGUGGCCGUUCACCCUCUCAGGCCGGCUACUGAUCGUCGCCUUGGUGGGCCGUUACCCCACCAACCAGCUAAUCAGACGCGGGUCCAUCUCAUACCACCGGAGUUUUUACCACUGUACCAUGCAGUACUGUGGUCUUAUGCGGUAUUAGCAGUCAUUUCUAACUGUUAUCCCCCUGUAUGAGGCAGGUUACCCACGCGUUACUCACCCGUCCGCCACUAA
This 262-nucleotide ribosomal RNA is filed under the name uncultured bacterium. RNAcentral describes it as "partial 16S ribosomal RNA". The record is from RNAcentral.